RNAcentral lists this long non-coding RNA (1617 nucleotides) under Anas platyrhynchos platyrhynchos (common mallard). RNAcentral's name for it is "lncRNA (ENSAPLG00000020963.1)". The record is from RNAcentral. Lineage: Eukaryota; Metazoa; Chordata; Aves; Anseriformes; Anatidae.
GUUACUUGCAGCGGAGAAUCUAACAAACAGGUUUCUGGCCUUUGCAAUGGAGAGAUUGCAUUUCACCAUUUUGAGAAUCCAACAAGGGUUUCACUGAAUGGGUCGAUGAUUACCAGCGACUUUAGUGUCAUCAUCUUUGGACACAUUUCCUUUAAUGACAUGUUUGCCUGCCUGCAACUUCAUGCCAGCACUAACAUCCAGCCUCAUUUGGAAAUUGACUUCCAGCAUUCCUUGCCUCAGCUUCAAUCUCUGGGUAUUUCCAAAGAGAAUCAAAUGAAAGUGUCAGCUAUCAGAAGUGACAAAUAUAAGGGGAUGCUUGAUGUCAUCUUCGGGCCUUGCAGUUUCAAAGCUGAUGGAGAAGUGAGCCUGAAUGCAAUGAAACAGAAAUAGAAUUACUUACUUUUACAAACAAGUGUGUCAGCCUAGAGGUAAGCAUCAAUUGUUUUCUGUAUGGUGUUAUAACCGUUCUAUUUCAAACUAUCAGGAAUUACAGAGAACUCUCUCCUGAUACAGGAGUAUCUUUAAUGACAGUUUUGGUCAUUAAAGUAGUUCUGGUACAGCACCGAGUGUGAGUGCUUGCAGAGGGAGUGUAUUUAAAGUUGAGAAUUUAGGGUAGUACAAUGGCAGAUGUUAUUGCUGUUGCAAUAAAAUAGUUGCUUAAUUGUAGCUUUUUAAUUAGAAUAAACUCUUGUUUUGAAAUCUAAUGAAAAUCGUGUACUUAAAAUUCUGGAGGAUUUCUUUGGGGUUAUGAACUUUUCCUUCUACAGUAUUUCUUAAAAGGAUGUUUUAGCUUUAUUUUUUUUUUUUUCCAUUCUGUUUAUUUUGGGGGUAAUUUCUGAUUUCUCUGUGAAAACAGCUGUCUUGUAUGGUCCUUUCCAAAAGCAUAUCGGUUCAGAAAGAAGAAAUGCUUUCUGAUUAAUUAGUAGGACAGUUUUUUUAAUUUAUUUGCUUUAAAUAAUGUCAUCUUUUCUGUUGCAGAGAAUGGGACUGCCACAUGCUGUAGCCUUUGGGGGCUCAUUUCAAAAGAACACCUGCAAUAUUGACUUGUUGAUGAACCUCCAGUAUGAUGGCAAAACAGUUGAUGUGCAGAUGGAUACUUCCUGCAAAAACAAAUAUGCCUUCCAAGGGAUGCUCAGGCUUUCAGUUCCCUGGACGAGUCAACUUGGGCUGCCUUUUGAAAACUCUGUCCUGUUCUCUGCUUCCACAGAGUCCACCACUGGGGGCAUUUUGUUGCUGCAGGCUGGCAAAUGCAAACUUAAGGCUAGAGGAGAUCUCUGUAUACAGAAUAAAGCUGAAUGGACACUGGAAACAGAAUGUCAGCUUCUGCAGGAUCUUGGAGCACCAGUAAAAAUUGAUGGUUCGGGCUAUAUUUUAAUGGAUAAAAUGAACCUAGAUUCACAGACCUUCAUCAUUGUUGAUGAAAGUAAAUUACAAGUACUCCUUAUACUAAACAUCACUGAUAUUAGAGAAGAACUGAGCCUUGUCCAGAAGUUGGGUGUAGUGUCUCUGAACUACAAACUUACUCAUAACAUAGAGGCACUGAAGGCUUUGCAGGUAGAAGAGAGGAUUGAGUUGCAGGUGAGUUAUCAGACACUGACAGAGGAGACACGCACCUAG